UGAAAGCUUUUGAUGGGUCGCGUAAAACUGUGAUUGGGGAAGUUGAUCUCCCAGUCAAAAUUGGACCAAGCGAUUUCCAGAUCACCUUCCAGGUUAUGGACAUCCACCUGUAAGACCCCAAUUUUUGCCCUAAGAUCCCUCAUGGCCUCAAGGCAACAUAUCAUAUCAAUCAUUGCCUCAAGGAUCAUUGUGCACCUUUGCUUGCCUCCUAGUGGAUGGGUAUCUUGUGAGUGUGGUUCUUGAUCACCAAGCAUGUAUUGCAUUUGUAUAUCAUUGCU
This 278-nucleotide long non-coding RNA is filed under the name Lathyrus oleraceus (garden pea). Its description in RNAcentral is "Pisum sativum (pea) long non-coding RNA (PSAT_LNC019485)". Lineage: Eukaryota; Viridiplantae; Streptophyta; Magnoliopsida; Fabales; Fabaceae. The record is from RNAcentral.